Molecule: ribosomal RNA, 253 nt
Filed under: uncultured bacterium
Lineage: Bacteria
Description: partial 16S ribosomal RNA
Rfam family: Bacterial small subunit ribosomal RNA
Source: RNAcentral
UACGUAGGGGGCAAGCGUUGUCCGGAAUUAUUGGGCGUAAAGAGCUCGUAGGCGGUUUGUCGCGUCUUCCGUGAAAACUGGGGGCUUAACUUCCAGCUUGCGGUGGAUACGGGCUGACUGGAGUGCGGCAGGGGAGACUGGAAUUCCUGGUGUAGCGGUGAAAUGCGCAGAUAUCAGGAGGAACACCGGUGGCGAAGGCGGGUCUCUGGGCCGUUACUGACGCUGAGGAGCGAAAGCGUGGGGAGCGAACAGG